UCAGGGAUCUAAAAUACAAAUAUCCCAAGCUUUGAAACACAGCAUUUAAACAAGGACCAAAUUGUAGCAAUGCGUAAAUCACAGGGAAAAUGUAAAAACAAAUAAACAGAAUCAAGGCUGAAAAACAAAUCAAUGUAGGAUAAGAGGGACUCGGCGUACAAAUUGACCUUUCAAGGUGAAAAGGCAAGGCCAUAAUAACCUCUGACCGAAUAUUCUUCUCAAAACAGGUUUCAAAACCCUUUUCUCUCAAAAUUUUUCAACCUCUUUUCCCUUUCAGUCGACUGAACCAAAAGGUUAUUCACUCUUUGCCUCCACGUUAUCAAAUCGGACCCUCCUAAAUCCCCAUCAGAGCUUCGAUUUCAACGAAUUCAACAAGGAUUCGAAGGCUCCUCAAGAAGAUAAGUAUUUUUGCUUCUGCUUAUUUUAUUUUUUACACACACAAAUAACAAAAAGCAAAGAACUCAAAGCAAAAUCUACAGAAAAAUGAGAUUUUAAAAUCACCUCUUGAACUGUUCCCGUUUUUCUAUUCAAACUUCUCUGUAUAGAUUUGUAUCCCCCCCUUUACAUUGUUUACAAAUGGUCUUUUAUAGCCGAAAACCCCCAAAAAAUGAAAAGAAAUUGAGACUCUCAUCAUCCCUCUUUUCUGUUAUCUCUUUGCUGUUAAUUAUCCUUGCUGUUAUUUGCUUUAGUUAUUAGUUCGUUUUGCAGGUGUGUAUGGCGUGGAGUGAAGCUGUUUGUGGGCGUGCUGGCGUGGAGGAGGCAGUUGGAGGCUACAGCAACUGAAGCUUUUAGGGUUUGCUGAGUAGUUUUUUUGGGGGGGGGGCUGGGAUUUGUGUUAUUUGUUGGGUCUGGUUUAUUCUUGGUUUUAGGGUUUACAAAUGGUCUUUUAUAGCCGAAAACCCCCAAAAAAUGAAAAGAAAUUGAGACUCUCAUCAUCCCUCUUUUCUGUUAUCUCUUUGCUGUUAAUUAUCCUUGCCGUUAUUUGCUGUAGUUAUUAGUUCGUUUUGCAGGUGUGUAUGGCGUGGAGUGAAGCUGUUUGUGGGCGUGCUGGCGUGGAGGAGGCAGUUGGAGGCUACAGCAACUGAAGCUUUUAGGGUCUUCUACAUAUACUUUAAACCCUUUUUUCAUUAUUAUUCACCUGGUGGAUGGGUCAAUCUGUAGCUAGAAAGAAAUUUAUAAUAGUUAUAUUGUCAAAAUGGUUUUACAAGUAAAUGCUUGAAUUAGAACUCAACAUUUUAAAGGUUGCUCAUAUAAGCGUCAAACCUUUUAAAAUGGUCAAAUAAGAAUUUAACAUUUACAGAAGUGCUCAAAUAAGGGCACUCUUUAGCUCAAUUUAUAGGAAAAUUUUGGUAAAUACUAACAUGUUUAAAAUAAAAUACAUAACACCUGAACUAGAUAUUGCUUGAAAAGAAAAGAAAGCAACUAGAGCAUAAUUUGAAAUCUGAUAUACAACUUUUGAGAAGCCCUUAUUUGAGCAAUUUUGAAAAAGUUUGACUCUUAUUUGAGCACUUUCGAAAAAGGUUAGGUUUUUAUUUAACCAUUUUAAAAAGUUGAUCCUUCAUUUGAGGACUUUUAUAAAUGUUGAGCCCUUAUGUAAUAACUUUGAAAAGUUUAGCUCUUAUGUGAGUAACUUCUAAAGAGUUAAACCCUAAUUUAUGCAUUUAGCAUUGGUUUUACUGAUAAUUUGAUAGAUAUAAAUGAUAAUUAAUCUCAUGAUGACAAUUUGCAACUAGCGGUUGCUAUGUAUUUGUGUUUAUAUGAAUCUUUGGGCCUAAAACAUACUUAGUUCAUGGUCUUGUCCCUUUGGAAUUAAAUAAACUCCGCAUCAUGAAAAGAAACUGUGAAGGUUUCAUAUGUGCAUCAAAUAUAACAAUAGAGUUAAAUAAAGUUUAAGAUGUAUAAUUAUGAAAGUUUGCAAAAUUAAAUUAGAUUUUAUAAUUGUUUAAUGCGUGAUUUGGAUUUAAAAUUUUGAAUUUGGG
RNAcentral lists this long non-coding RNA (1979 nucleotides) under Gossypium barbadense (sea-island cotton). RNAcentral's name for it is "long non-coding RNA (GBAR_LNC000270)". The record is from RNAcentral. Lineage: Eukaryota; Viridiplantae; Streptophyta; Magnoliopsida; Malvales; Malvaceae.